Non-coding RNA from Aspergillus wentii DTO 134E9, 127 nucleotides. NCBI's taxonomy places the organism in Eukaryota, Fungi, Ascomycota, Eurotiomycetes, Eurotiales, Aspergillaceae. The record is from the annotation of a RefSeq genome assembly.
GGGCCUAUGGCGCAACGGCAGCGCAUCGUAAGUUCUACUUUGAACCAGCUUGUUUAGCAACAUUUAACUAACAGUAUAACAGCGACUCCAGAUCGGGAGGUUAUCCGUUCAAAUCGGGUUGGGCUCA